RNAcentral lists this long non-coding RNA (251 nucleotides) under Athene cunicularia (burrowing owl). RNAcentral describes it as "lncRNA (ENSACUG00000000701.1)". Lineage: Eukaryota; Metazoa; Chordata; Aves; Strigiformes; Strigidae. The record is from RNAcentral.
CUUUCCUACUGAUUAACACUUUCCAACGCGACCAGGCACUCCGCUUCCAACUUUUCCCGUUUUAAACCAGAAGCAGCCAGCACCGCUUGCUCCCGCGGGUUAUAAACGCCGUCUGGGGCGUGGGGGACACCAUAAUUAAUAGCAGGACUGCCAGAGGGCCCUGUUACCUGGUUGAGUACCUGAUAACAUCACAGGGUAGAAGACACACAGAGAGCUUCUGUGACCUUAUCCCCGGUGUGAUCUUGUCCAGU